This 301-nucleotide ribosomal RNA is filed under the name uncultured bacterium. RNAcentral describes it as "partial 16S ribosomal RNA". It matches the Rfam family "Bacterial small subunit ribosomal RNA", at positions 509 to 807 of the family's 1533-position model. The record is from RNAcentral.
CAGUCGCCGCGGUAAUACGUAGGUGGCAAGCGUUGUCCGGAAUUAUUGGGCGUAAAGGGCUCGCAGGCGGUUUCUUAGGUCUGAUGUGAAAGCCCCCGGCUCAACCGGGGAGGGUCAUUGGAAACUGGGAAAUUUGAGUGCAGAAGAGGAGAGUGGAAUUCCACGUGUAGCGGUGAAAUGCGUAGAGAUGUGGAGGAACACCAGUGGCGAAGGCGACUCUCUGGUCUGUAACUGACGCUGAGGAGCGAAAGCGUGGGGAGCGAACAGGAUUAGAUACCCGGGUAGUCCCUGUCUCUUAUAC